This 419-nucleotide ribosomal RNA is filed under the name uncultured bacterium. RNAcentral describes it as "bacterial SSU rRNA". It matches the Rfam family "Bacterial small subunit ribosomal RNA", at positions 358 to 775 of the family's 1533-position model. The record is from RNAcentral.
GGAAUAUUGGUCAAUGGGCGCUAGCCUGAACCAGCCAAGUAGCGUGAAGGAUGACUGCCCUAUGGGUUGUAAACUUCUUUUAUAUGGGAAUAAAGUGCAGUAUGUAUACUGCUUUGCAUGUACCUUAUGAAUAAGGAUCGGCUAACUCCGUGCCAGCAGCCGCGGUAAUACGGAGGAUCCGAGCGUUAUCCGGAUUCAUUGGGUUUAAAGGGUGCGUAGGCGGGAUGCCAAGUCAGCGGUCAAAUACGGGGGCUCAACCUGCGUCCGCCGUUGAAACUGGCGUUCUUGAGUGGGCGAGAAGUACGCGGAAUGCGUGGUGUAGCGGUGAAAUGCAUAGAUAUCACGCAGAACCCCGAUUGCGAAGGCAGCGUACCGGCGCCCUACUGACGCUGAAGCACGAAAGCGUGGGUAUCGAACAG